AUCAUCCUCGUGGUCGUCGGCCAUCCCCCUUUAAAAAUGUCCCCGUAAGUCUAAUUAGUGGAAACGAUUUCGACCCUUAACAUUUAUUAUUUCGUCCAGCGAACUUAUCCAUAAUUUCUUGUUCGUACCCGAAAUCUUAUUUCGUAAUGUACGUGUGUCUAAAAUACUCCCUUACCUAAAUAACGUGUUAGAAGUUUAACGUUAUAUCCGAAAGCGGGGCUUUAAUCUGGAGAGGAGUUUCACCGCUGAUGGUUGCAGGAGCACAGGGACAACAGCCAUUGCUAAUGCAAGCAGGGCUAGCACAACAGUUGCAGGUGGGAAAG
Centruroides sculpturatus (bark scorpion) is the source of this 323-nucleotide long non-coding RNA. RefSeq lists it as uncharacterized. The record is from RefSeq and is a predicted model, not a curated record. The transcript has 2 exons. NCBI's taxonomy places the organism in Eukaryota, Metazoa, Arthropoda, Arachnida, Scorpiones, Buthidae.